GUUCUUUCUUACUUCUAAGGAAAGGGCUUUUCUUCGAUUUUUCAAUAAAGACGAGUUUUUACUCCUUUUUGAUAUUUUCUAUUAUAAAAUUCGAAGUUAUAAGAAAGGGUCAUUAAACUUAUCGAAUUAACUUCUCAUUGAUGUAUUCUUUCAUCGAGAUUUAAUCUAAACCGCGAUGGUAUUUUCUUGUUCCUGAAUGGGUCUGUUUCAUCUUAUUAGGUUUAUGCUCUACUC
This 234-nucleotide long non-coding RNA is filed under the name Solanum melongena (eggplant). RNAcentral describes it as "long non-coding RNA (SMEL_LNC000071)". The record is from RNAcentral. Lineage: Eukaryota; Viridiplantae; Streptophyta; Magnoliopsida; Solanales; Solanaceae.